RNAcentral lists this ribosomal RNA (567 nucleotides) under uncultured Actinomycetes bacterium. RNAcentral's name for it is "bacterial SSU rRNA". It matches the Rfam family "Bacterial small subunit ribosomal RNA", at positions 338 to 916 of the family's 1533-position model. The record is from RNAcentral. Lineage: Bacteria; Bacillati; Actinomycetota; Actinomycetes.
CCUACGGGAGGCAGCAGCGGGGAAUAUUGGGCAAUGGAGGAAACUCUGACCCAGCGACGCCGCGUGCGGGAUGAAGGCCUUCGGGUUGUAAACCGCUUUCAGUAGGGAAGAAGCGAAAGUGACGGUACCUACAAAAGAAGCACCGGCUAACUAUGUGCCAGCAGCCGCGGUAAUACAUAGGGUGCAAGCGUUGUCCGGAAUUAUUGGGCGUAAAGAGCUCGUAGGUCGUUUGUUACGUCGGAUGUGAAAACCUGAGGCUCGACCUCAGGCCUGCAUUCGAUACGGGCAAACUAGAGUUUGGUAGGGGAGACUGGAAUUCCUGGUGUAGCGGUGGAAUGCGCAGAUAUCAGGAGGAACACCAAUGGCGAAGGCAGGUCUCUGGGCCAAUACUGACACUGAGGAGCGAAAGUCUGGGGAGCGAACAGGAUUAGAUACCCUGGUAGUCCAGACCGUAAACGGUGGGCACUAGUUGUGGGAACCUUCCACGGUUUCUGCGACGCAGCUAACGCAUUAAGUGCCCCGCCUGGGGAGUACGAUCGCAAGAUUAAAACUCAAAGGAAUUGACGG